AGGAUAGUAGUCAAAAAUGAUAUCUGAUUUGCAUUUAGAAGGUGUUACAAAGUAACCUAUCUUA
This 64-nucleotide transfer RNA is filed under the name Gonodactylaceus falcatus. RNAcentral describes it as "tRNA-Ala". Lineage: Eukaryota; Metazoa; Arthropoda; Malacostraca; Stomatopoda; Gonodactylidae. The record is from RNAcentral. RNAcentral also lists the same sequence under 1 other name.